This 80-nucleotide non-coding RNA is filed under the name Parabacteroides bouchesdurhonensis. Lineage: Bacteria; Pseudomonadati; Bacteroidota; Bacteroidia; Bacteroidales; Tannerellaceae. The record is from RNAcentral.
CACAAAGGGGUGCCAAACUGUAUGGGCUGAGAUUAUACCCUCGAACCUGAUGCGGAUAAUGCCGCCGUAGGAAAAGAACA